UCAAUGAUUUACCAUGUUCACUUCCUCAAAGAUGCUCACUUGUAUUACUUCAAUGUCAUGUUUUGUAGUAUCUGCCUUUGCUAAAUGUUGAUCGUUUUUCUUACCGGCUUGCUUCCGCAAAUAACUUUACCAGAACUAUACAAGUCGUAUGGCAAUCUGAGGUUUUCUCCAUGCUUUCUGGGUUUUCUCAAUAGCCGGUGAUGGUUUUCUCCAUGCUUCUUGGUUUUUUUAAUGACUGGUGAUGGUUUUCUUCAUGCUUCUUGGUUUUCUCAAUGACUGGUGAC
Long non-coding RNA from Erigeron canadensis, 284 nucleotides. RefSeq lists it as uncharacterized. NCBI's taxonomy places the organism in Eukaryota, Viridiplantae, Streptophyta, Magnoliopsida, Asterales, Asteraceae. The transcript is spliced from 4 exons. The record is from RefSeq and is a predicted model, not a curated record.